CUCCUGAGUGGGUACUGCUUACUCCACGUGACAGAACAGUGAAAGUUCUGAUUUGUGCUACAACAUGGAUAAACUCUGAGGACUUUAUUAUAAGUGAAAGUAGCAAGACAUAAAAGGACAAGCAUUGUACCAUUCUACUUACAGGGGCCCCACACCAUCGAGACCGGAAGAACACUGGACUGGAGGAGCCAACAUCGAGUCAGGCACCCAAGUGAGAAGAGGCUCCACAUCCGGGCAUCAGCCAGGAGGCCACACUUCUGGAAGCUGUGCUCAGGAAGGCCCCAAGCAGCCGAGCCGCCCUUUGGAGCCAGAUGCAGGAAGGUCCUGUCUAAUCUCUUGGAAAGGAAGAGAAGUGAAGAAUUCUGGACCAGAAGGCGGAGAGGUGAGGACCACCACACAAUCAGCUCUUUAUUUGAAAGAAUCAGCCAGAAGCAUGUGGAGCCCUGCCGCCUUAUGACAUUUCUAGGCAAGCGGAGAC
RNAcentral lists this long non-coding RNA (478 nucleotides) under Heterocephalus glaber (naked mole-rat). RNAcentral's name for it is "lncRNA (ENSHGLG00100049374.1)". The record is from RNAcentral. Lineage: Eukaryota; Metazoa; Chordata; Mammalia; Rodentia; Bathyergidae.